RNAcentral lists this ribosomal RNA (460 nucleotides) under uncultured bacterium. Its description in RNAcentral is "partial 16S ribosomal RNA". It matches the Rfam family "Bacterial small subunit ribosomal RNA", at positions 338 to 795 of the family's 1533-position model. The record is from RNAcentral.
CCUACGGGAGGCAGCAGUGAGGAAUAUUGGUCAAUGGGCGCAAGCCUGAACCAGCCAAGUCGCGUGAGGGAUGACGGUCCUAUGGAUUGUAAACCUCUUUUGUCGGGGAGCAAGGCCCGCCACGUGUGGCGGGAAGGAGAGUACCCGAAGAAAAAGCAUCGGCUAACUCCGUGCCAGCAGCCGCGGUAAUACGGAGGAUGCGAGCGGUAUCCGGAUUUAUUGGGUGUAAGGGGUGCGUAGGCGGAAGGAUAAGUCAGCGGUAAAAUGUCGGUGCUCAACACCGGCCUGCCGUUGAAACUGGUCUUCUUGAGUGAGCGAGAAGUAUGCGGAAUGCGUGGUGUAGCGGUGAAAUGCAUAGAUAUCACGCAGAACUCCGAUUGCGAAGGCAGCAUACCGGCGCUCAACUGACGCUGAGGCACGAAAGCGUGGGGAUCGAACAGGAUUAGAUACCCGAGUAGUC